GAUGAACGCUGGCGGCGUGCCUAAUACAUGCAAGUCGAGCGAACGGACGCGAAGCUUGCUUCUCUGUUGUUAGCGGCGGACGGGUGAGUAACACGUGGAUAAUCUACCUAUAAGACUGGGAUAACUUCGGGAAACCGGAGCUUAUACCGUAUGAUCUUUUGAAGCGCAGGGUUCAAAAGUGAAAGUCGGUCUUGCUGGCACUUAUAGAUGGAUCCCAGCUUCAUUGGCUAGUUGGUAAGGUCAAGGGUUACCAAGGGAACGAUGCAUAGGCGACCUGAGGGGGUGAUCGGCCACACUGGAACUGAGACACGGUCCAGACUCCUACGGGAGGCAGCAGUAGGGAAUCUUCCGCAAUGGGCGAAAGCCUGACGGAGCAACGCCGCGUGAGUGAUGAAGGUCUUCGGAUCGUAAAACUCUGUUAUUAGGGAAGAACAUAUGUGUAAGUAACUGUGCACAUCUUGACGGUACCUAAUCAGAAAGCCACGGCUAACUACGUG
RNAcentral lists this ribosomal RNA (497 nucleotides) under uncultured bacterium. Its description in RNAcentral is "partial 16S ribosomal RNA". It matches the Rfam family "Bacterial small subunit ribosomal RNA", at positions 28 to 507 of the family's 1533-position model. The record is from RNAcentral.